AUUGAACGCUGGCGGCAUGCCUUACACAUGCAAGUCGAACGGCAGCGGACCUUCGGGUGCCGGCGAGUGGCGAACGGGUGAGUAAUAUAUCGGAACGUACCGUUUCAGUGGGGGAUAACGUAGCGAAAGUUACGCUAAUACCGCAUAUUCUGUGAGCAGGAAAGCAGGGGAUCGCAAGACCUUGCGCUGAUUGAGCGGCCGAUAUCAGAUUAGCUAGUUGGUGAGGUAAAGGGCUCACCUAGGCGACGAUCCUGUAGCGGGUCUGAGAGGAUGGUCCGCCACACUGGAACUGAGACACGGUCCAGACUCCUACGGGAGGCAGCAGUGGGGAAUUUUGGACAAUGGACGCAAGCCUGAUCCAGCCAUGCCGCGUGAGUGAAGAAGGCCU
Molecule: ribosomal RNA, 388 nt
Filed under: uncultured bacterium
Lineage: Bacteria
Description: bacterial SSU rRNA
Rfam family: Bacterial small subunit ribosomal RNA
Source: RNAcentral